UCCUGGCUCAGGAAUGAACGCUGGCGGCGUGCCUAACACAUGCAAGUCGAACGAAGCACAUACGACAGAACUCUUCGGAGGGAAGAUGUAUGUGACUGAGUGGCGGACGGGUGAGUAACGCGUGGGUAACCUGCCCUAUACAGGGGGACAACAGUUGGAAACGACUGCUAAUACCGCAUAAGCGCACAGUACCGCAUGGUACAGAGCGAAAAAACUCCGGUGGUAUAGGAUGGGCCCGCGUCUGAUUAGUUAGUUGGCGGUGUAACGGACCACCAAGACGACGAUCAGUAGCCGGCUUGAGAGAGUGAACGGCCACAUUGGGACUGAGACACGGCCCAAACUCCUACGGGAGGCAGCAGUGGGGAAUAUUGCACAAUGGGGGAAACCCUGAUGCAGCAACGCCGCGUGAGUGAAGAAGUAUUUCGGUAUGUAAAGCUCUAUCAGCAGGGAAGAAAAUGACGGUACCUGACUAAGAAGCCCCGGCUAACUACGUG
This 494-nucleotide ribosomal RNA is filed under the name uncultured bacterium. RNAcentral describes it as "bacterial SSU rRNA". It matches the Rfam family "Bacterial small subunit ribosomal RNA", at positions 17 to 507 of the family's 1533-position model. The record is from RNAcentral.